GCUCAAUCAGCAGGCCUCAGCUCUGACCACCUCCUGUCAUGUCACCUUUGCUCAACUGUCUGGACCCUCUGGACCACCUGGACAACACAUCACCUGGAACCCUCCACUUCCUCUUUGGCAGUCGUCCCUUCCACCUCCAACUGACUGGACCGGACCGGACCGGACCGAACGCCGUGGGACAACCAUCUGCUGAUACAGGUCUUCCUUGAUGAACUCUCCAGGUGGUGGCAAGAGU
This is a long non-coding RNA of Seriola dumerili (greater amberjack), 235 nucleotides long. RefSeq lists it as uncharacterized. The record is from RefSeq and is a predicted model, not a curated record. NCBI's taxonomy places the organism in Eukaryota, Metazoa, Chordata, Actinopteri, Carangiformes, Carangidae. The transcript has 3 exons.